GGGGGCAACCCUGGCGGCGAGCGGCGAACGGGUGAGUAAUACAUCGGAACGUACCCAGGAGUGGGGGAUAACACAUCGAAAGAUGUGCUAAUACCGCAUACGCCCUGAGGGGGAAAGCGGGGGACCGCAAGGCCUCGCGCUGUUGGAGCGGCCGAUGUCGGAUUAGCUAGUUGGUGGGGUAAGGGCCUACCAAGGCGACGAUCCGUAGCUGGUCUGAGAGGAUGAUCAGCCACACUGGGACUGAGACACGGCCCAGACUCCUACGGGAGGCAGCAGUGGGGAAUUUUGGACAAUGGGCGAAAGCCUGAUCCAGCCAUUCCGCGUGAGUGAAGAAGGCCUUCGGGUUGUAAAGCUCUUUCGGCAGGAAAGAAACGGUCUGUGUUAAUACCAUGGGCUAAUGACGGUACCUGCAGAAGAAGCACCGGCUAACUACGUGCCAGCAGCCGCGGUAAUACGUAGGGUGCGAGCGUUAAUCGGAAUUACUGGGCGUAAAGCGUGCGCAGGCGGUUGUGUAAGACAGGCGUGAAAUCCCCGGGCUCAACCUGGGAACUGCGUUUGUGACUGCACAGCUAGAGUAUGGCAGAGGGGGGGUGGAAUUCCACGUGUAGCAGUGAAAUGCGUAGAGAUGUGGAGGAACACCGAUGGCGAAGGCAGCCCCCUGGGCCAAUACUGACGCUCAUGCACGAAAGCGUGGGUAGCAAACAGGAUUAGAUACCCUGGUAGUCCACGCCCUAAACGAUGUCAACUAGGUGUUGGGGAGGGUAAAACCUUUUAGUACCGGAGCUAACGCGUGAAGUUGACCGCCUGGGGGAGUACGGCCGCAAGGUUAAAACUCAAAGGAAUUGACGGGGACCCGCACAAGCGGUGGAUGAAAGGUGGAUUAAUUCGAUGCC
RNAcentral lists this ribosomal RNA (893 nucleotides) under uncultured bacterium. RNAcentral describes it as "bacterial SSU rRNA". It matches the Rfam family "Bacterial small subunit ribosomal RNA", at positions 75 to 958 of the family's 1533-position model. The record is from RNAcentral.